UACGUAGGGGGCAAGCGUUGUCCGGAUUUAUUGGGCGUAAAGCGCUCGCAGGUGGUUCGUCGCGUCGUGCGUGAAAGACCCCGGCUCAACUGGGGAGGGUCGUGCGAUACGGGCGGACUGGAGGCCAGUAGGGGGAUGCGGAAUUCCGGGUGUAGUGGUGGAAUGCGUAGAGAUCCGGAGGAACACCAGCGGCGAAGGCGGCAUCCUGGACUGGUCCUGACACUCAGGAGCGAAAGCGCUGGGAGCGAGUCCGG
Molecule: ribosomal RNA, 254 nt
Filed under: uncultured bacterium
Lineage: Bacteria
Description: partial 16S ribosomal RNA
Rfam family: Bacterial small subunit ribosomal RNA
Source: RNAcentral